RNAcentral lists this unclassified non-coding RNA (676 nucleotides) under Hevea brasiliensis (rubber tree). Lineage: Eukaryota; Viridiplantae; Streptophyta; Magnoliopsida; Malpighiales; Euphorbiaceae. The record is from RNAcentral.
CCUUGACCUUUGUAACUUGCAACCUGGAUAAAAUAGCCUUUUUUUACUAACCAUUGCAUACACAUUAAAGGUACAAGUUACAAUGUGACCAAAACGAUGCAGCCAACAAUUGAUUUUAAUAUUCAAAUGCAAUUAAACUUGCAUAACAGACAAACUACAUGCAUUGGACAUAUGACUAUGAAGGUGGGGUCAACUUCCAUGCAUUGUUUGCUUUGUUCACAUUUCCAAGUAAAACAUAAAUGCAAAUUCACAGUAAAUUAUGGUUAUAAAGCAAAAAAGCAGAAUACAGAAAAACAUGCAAACAAACAAAAGAUCUCCUGGCUGAAUUUAUGAUUAUAUUCAUAUAUAUGUAAUCCUAUCUUCCUCAAUAUCUGCAAAAAGUGGAUCACAUCUGUCUCCACUUUGUAAGAGCUGUAAGAUUUCUUAGAGAAGAUUUGAAGUUUUCUGUUGUUUUUUCAUAAGAAAGUAGUCCAGUCAAGGUGCAGAUUUUCACAAGGAACUACUUGUUUAUUGUUCAUGGGAUUUCUUGAUUAGCAAUAGGUCUAUUAUCUGUGAAAUUUUGUGUCAUAAAGAAAAGCAAGAGACAACAGUAAUGAUGAGACAACAACAAUGGUCAAUUUGAAGGAAAAGAAAUAGCAAACAAACAAAAUAGUUGAGAGAAAAAGAGAGAGAGAGA